Molecule: ribosomal RNA, 460 nt
Filed under: uncultured bacterium
Lineage: Bacteria
Description: partial 16S ribosomal RNA
Rfam family: Bacterial small subunit ribosomal RNA
Source: RNAcentral
CCUACGGGGGGCAGCAGUGAGUAAUAUUGGUCAAUGGGCGCGAGCCUGAACCAGCCAAGUAGCGUGAAGGAUGACUGCCCUACGGGUUGUAAACUUCUUUUAUAAAGGAAUAAAGUGAGGCACGUGUGCCUGUCUGUAUGUACCAUACGAAUAAGGAUCGGCUAACUCCGUGCCAGCAGCCGCGGUAAUACGGAGGAUCCGAGCGUUAUCCGGAUUUAUUGGGUUUAAAGGGAGCGUAGGUGGUUUGUUAAGUCAGUUGUGAAAGUUUGCGGCUCAACCGUAGAAUUGCAGUUGAAACUGGCAGUCUUGAGUGCAGUAGAGGUAGGCGGAAUUCGUGGUGUAGCGGUGAAAUGCUUAGAUAUCACGAAGAACUCCGAUUGCGAAGGCAGCUCACUGGACUGCAACUGACACUGAGGCACGAAAGUGUGGGUAUCAAACAGGAUUAGAUACCCCAGUAGUC